AUGGGUAGUGCAAACAUUAUUAUCCUUGUUGUCUUGCUCUUCUCCUCGGUGCUCACGCUUCUGCUUCCCACUGCUGCCUGUGCUCGCCACGGUGAGUUCCUCUCCAAUCUAUAUAGAUCAUGCGUCCUAGUUUGUGUUGUUACUUACCCCGAGUCCCAUUGGCAUGCAGCUCCAGCAGCUGCGGUGCUUAACGCAAAAGAUGGCCUCAACGACACCGGAGGACUACAUCACGUGGUGGUCAGUGACGCGGGGAAGGCUGGCCCUGUCACGAGCGACAGUGGCGGCUUCUGGCCGGGAACGGCUGAGGCGUGUGUGGCGUCAAGGCACCGGGGCGACACGGCCACCGUGAUGCAAGACAUGCUCGGGAUGGAUUACUCUCCGGCGGUGCGCAAGCCCCCGCAGUGUGAACGUGCGACCUGUGCACGUCGUGCCUUGUCGAGUGCAUGCCCGGUGUCGAGCAUGUUGGCACUAGGCGGUGUCCUAAGAAACGUUUUCGACCCUCCCGAGCCGCCCCCCCGCAUGGGCGACCGGGAGGCCCCAGAUCCCAUCGGCCGGACCUCCCCCACUCCUCCUCCUCCCUCACCGCCGCCCAAGGGCGCGGCCAGGCGAAGCCUUGCCGUCGCCGGCGGCGGCGGAGACUUGGGCCCUCUCGCUCGGGUGGGGCUGGCGCGGGACAGCGCCCCCGGGCCGGAGCGUGGCGGGCGGGCCAGACGCCAUGACGGGUGGUGGCGGCGCAUCGGCGACCUCGCUUCCCCGCGGCAGGAGGUCUCAGGAUCUGGUGCGUCGCGGUCGCCAGAGACGGAGGCAGCGUGA
RNAcentral lists this ribosomal RNA (813 nucleotides) under Triticum aestivum (bread wheat). RNAcentral describes it as "partial small subunit ribosomal RNA". The record is from RNAcentral. Lineage: Eukaryota; Viridiplantae; Streptophyta; Magnoliopsida; Poales; Poaceae.